UUAAAUUGAAGAGUUUGAUCAUGGCUCAGAUUGAACGCUGGCGGCAGGCCUAACACAUGCAAGUCGAACGGUAACAGGAAUCAGCUUGCUGAUUCGCUGACGAGUGGCGGACGGGUGAGUAAUGUCUGGGAAACUGCCUGAUGGAGGG
This 148-nucleotide ribosomal RNA is filed under the name Escherichia coli. RNAcentral's name for it is "partial 16S ribosomal RNA". It matches the Rfam family "Bacterial small subunit ribosomal RNA", at positions 1 to 140 of the family's 1533-position model. Lineage: Bacteria; Pseudomonadati; Pseudomonadota; Gammaproteobacteria; Enterobacterales; Enterobacteriaceae. The record is from RNAcentral. RNAcentral also lists the same sequence under 1 other name.